GGAAGGGGGUGACACAGUGACAGAGUGAGGGAGGGGGUGACUAGUGACAGAGUGAAGGAGGUGGUGACUGUCACUAGUCACCCCCUUCCCUCCCUCACUCUGUCACUAGUCACCCCUCCCUCU
This is a non-coding RNA of Pelobates cultripes (western spadefoot toad), 123 nucleotides long. Lineage: Eukaryota; Metazoa; Chordata; Amphibia; Anura; Pelobatidae. The record is from the annotation of a GenBank genome assembly.